GGGGGUCUUUAUUUUACAGUGUCAAAGCAAUUUGACUAAAAUCAACAGGAAAUGCAAGUUUUAGUAGGUUUUAGUUUAUAUAUAUAUAUAUAUAUAUAUAUAUAUAUAUAUAUAUAUAUAUAUACAUUUAAGGCUACAAAAUUAACAUUAAGCAUUCAGGUAUAUAUUUUGCAUCAAGUUUGGAUUACUGUGCUUAUUUGCACUGCCAUAGUAUUAGCUUUUUUUUCUUUCUUUUUUUUUAACAGUUCAUCUACAGUUUUAUCAUUUAAACCUAACAAAUCUGUGUAUUUGUGUUAUUGAUCUUAAAAUAAAUGCAACUUUUAUGGUAUUCUAUUCAAUGCAGUGAUAUUAAUAUACGCUUCUAAUACUGUUUGAAGCCAGUGUUUCAUAAUAAUAGAUUAUUCCUUUAAACCAGUCGUAUGGACCGAGUCUUGAUUUUGUCUUGAGGAGUGCAGCUGUGGUCAGGCAGAGGUUAAUGGUUCCGCGCUCUGGCGGCUGGGCAGGCGCGGAGCUGCGGCGCUCUGACGCGGGGAUGGAGAGCUCAGAGAUGCGCUGCUGCUGCUGCUCCGACAGGAUCCCGCGGCCUGCUGCUUUCUCCGCUCUUCUGCGCCGAAGCUUUAAAUCACGGUUCAUCAGGCAUUUCCUGGACUUCCUAGUUUCUUGGCCCAGUCUAGCUGUGAGUACACCUGCUCCGCUCGGAGAUUCAGCUCGCUUUCCCAUGACGGCUGGAGUCAAUUAACGGCUCAGAAAAACCACCGUGUUGAGGUGAAUUUAGAUGCAACUGUCUGCCGAGUGAAGGAAAAGAGCCCAGCGCUGCAGUGACAGGUACAUAUGAACGCUGCCAGAAUCCAACAGUCACACAUUCACGUCCUUGUUGAUUCGUCACAAGCCGAGGCAGAGCUGAGUAAGCUGGCGGACAGCCAUGUUGAAUCAGUGCUUCAUCAUACAGGCGUUAUGCAGUGGAGAUGAAAUGUGGUAUUUUCUGUUCUUUGUGUAGCUGUCUUCACCGUGUGGGUUAGAAACAAGGGGAACGUGUUGUGAAUCACUCAUGGGAUUUGGCCCAGCAUUCCCGUAACGUUGGAAAAUAGGCUUAAAAAUGCUGUUUUUGGCAUGGAGCAGCAGGUACGUUAAUGCACUGUCAAGGACUCAACUUCGCUUAUGUUCUUCUGUCUUAUAUCAAGCACGCUGAGUGUCAUCUGUAAUCUGCGAUGAUGUACAGUAGGAUCUGCAAUCUAUAGUGGAGCAUGUAACAUUUCCGGAUAAGGUCGUCCAUUAGUGUGGUCCCAUAAAAUACCACAAUACAUGGUCAUUCAGCUGCCUGCAUUUUUUUCUUUACAUACUCUUAUAGUAUUUAUUCAUAUUUAGGAUUCACUUUUACUUUUAUAUUUUCAUUUUUAAUUUUUUUCUGUUAGUUUUAUAUUUUUAUUUAGCUACAUAUUUAGUCAUUUUAGUACUUUACCUAGUAAUUUCAGUUUCUUGCCAAGGCAACAUUUCCAAGUUUUUCUUAUAUUUCUCAUCACAUGUGAAUGUCUUCAGCUUUAUUUCAGUUAAAGAAAAAGAUUUUUAAUAAUUACUGGCUAUUUUUUAAAAUAGUUAUACCGGUUUGAGCUGGGAUUGAAAUCUAAAAUGCAAAAAAAAAAAAAAAAAAAAAAUAUCUUAGUGAGUACUUUUGUCUUCUGCAGGAAAAAUGCAGUAAAUAUCCCUAAAACAAUAUUUUCUGUGCAAGUCAAAUUGUGUAAAUUAACACAUUAUUAAUAUUGGGACAUCAUUUUUUUCAGAAAAUAUUUAAUGAAUUGGGUUUAUUUUUCUUGCCAUAUUUGUCACGUUUUCUUUUUUCUGUCUUGCUUUUUUCCCGCAUUUUUUCAAAAAAUGUUUGACUUAAAAUAAAAAUAGUGAUACUCUCA
Molecule: long non-coding RNA, 1904 nt
Organism: Cyprinus carpio (common carp)
Lineage: Eukaryota; Metazoa; Chordata; Actinopteri; Cypriniformes; Cyprinidae
Source: Ensembl